UCUGACCCUCUGAUCUCCUCCCAUGAAGACCCUGGUGACACUGGGCCCCACACAACCCAGGGUGACCCCCCCUGCAUUCUACUGAAAGGGAAUAGACACAAGUUGGGGGAGGUGGAGGUUUGGGGGAAUAAUGUAGUCCCAGUAUGUCCCCCAAGGCUCCUCCUGUGGGAUCUUGGUCCUCAGGGUGGCCACGUGGAAAGGGACCUUCAAGAGGUGGAGCCUCGGGUGGGAGGUGGAAAGAAAUUGACCAAAUUAUGCUAUGUACAUAUUUGAGUGUGCCACAGUGACCACCUUUGUGUAUAUCUAUAAAGCAUUAAUAUAAAGAUCUAUAAAUAGAAGAGGACGGGAGGAGGGAAAAGGGAAGUGCUGGGGACCCAAGUGGAGCAGAUCACAGUCUGAUCAUGUGAAAGUGAACCCCAAUAUUCUGUGUAACUGCAAUAUGCUAAUAAAAAC
This 453-nucleotide long non-coding RNA is filed under the name Marmota monax (woodchuck). Lineage: Eukaryota; Metazoa; Chordata; Mammalia; Rodentia; Sciuridae. The record is from RNAcentral.